Molecule: ribosomal RNA, 329 nt
Filed under: uncultured eukaryote
Lineage: Eukaryota
Description: partial 18S ribosomal RNA
Rfam family: Eukaryotic small subunit ribosomal RNA
Source: RNAcentral
CCCUUAGAUGUUCUGGGCCGCACGCGCGCUACACUGACGAUGGCAACGAGUUUUUCCUUCGCCGAAAGGUGUGGGUAAUCUUUUGAAACAUCGUCGUGCUGGGGAUAGAUCAUUGCAAUUUUUGAUCUUGAACGAGGAAUUCCUAGUAAGCGCGAGUCAUCAGCUCGCGUUGAUUACGUCCCUGCCCUUUGUACACACCGCCCGUCACUACUACCGAUUGAAUGGUUUAGUGAGGACUCCUGAUUGGCGCCGCCGCCCCGGCAACGGAGCAGCGGACUGCCGAAAAGUUGUUCAAACUUGAUCAUUUAGAGGAAGUAAAAGUCGUAACA